GACGAACGCUGGCGGCGUGCUUAACACAUGCAAGUCGAACGGAAAGGCCCUGCUUUUGUGGGGUGCUCGAGUGGCGAACGGGUGAGUAACACGUGAGUAACCUGCCCUUGACUUUGGGAUAACUUCAGGAAACUGGGGCUAAUACCGGAUAGGAGCUCCUGCUGCAUGGUGGGGGUUGGAAAGUUUCGGCGGUUGGGGAUGGACUCGCGGCUUAUCAGCUUGUUGGUGGGGUAGUGGCUUACCAAGGCUUUGACGGGUAGCCGGCCUGAGAGGGUGACCCGCCACAUUGGGACUGAGAUACGGCCCAGACUCCUACGGGAGGCAGCAGUGGGGAAUAUUGCACAAUGGGCGGAAGCCUGAUGCAGCAACGCCGCGUGCGGGAUGACGGCCUUCGGGUUGUAAACCGCUUUCGCCUGUGGCGAAGCGUGAGUGACGGUAAUGGGUAAAGAAGCACCGGCUAACUACGUG
This 468-nucleotide ribosomal RNA is filed under the name uncultured bacterium. RNAcentral describes it as "partial 16S ribosomal RNA". It matches the Rfam family "Bacterial small subunit ribosomal RNA", at positions 28 to 507 of the family's 1533-position model. The record is from RNAcentral.